RNAcentral lists this long non-coding RNA (4811 nucleotides) under Pelobates cultripes (western spadefoot toad). Lineage: Eukaryota; Metazoa; Chordata; Amphibia; Anura; Pelobatidae. The record is from RNAcentral.
CAAAAUAAAGUAAAAUUUAAUGGAGAAAUGCACACACAUGCCAAAACAAGUCACAAGGUGAACAGAUGAUAUGAAACAUUUCAAAAUAAUAAAAUCAUAAAAAAGGUAUACCAAAUGAAAUAAAACAGCUAGAGAACAGCAUAAUCUAAACAAAUAUUUAAUCUGGUCACAACAAAAGACUCCUAAAUAAUAUAGGGUCUUUAAAGAAUAAACAUUUAACUGUAUGAAAACUCAAGGGUUCAAAUUAGAGAUGGAUUAUUUGUUCUUGCAAUCCAGUUCAGCACAGAAGGAGUUAAACGACAGAAAAACAAAAAAUGUACAGAUUUCCGCGCAUAUAGCGCCACUUUCCAUCUGUGACAGUGGAAAAAUGAUAAGAGGAAACAAUGAGCAUGACUCAUAUUUGACUAAAAUCAUAAGCAUAUGGCAAUGUUUUUUAUGUCACCCAACUGCUCUUAAAUAUAUUGAAAGAAAAUAAUGUGGACUUUGGUAAGAUGAGUGUUCAGGGUGAACUUUUUCUAAAUGAUGCUGAAAACAGAUGAAGUUAUCGGUGCCCUUGUUUACAUAUAUUGUAAAUAGGGGAUCUAACAUGUACUCAAUCAAUUGGUUCUCUGUACGGAAUGCACAAAAACCAGACUCUCAUUGAGAUAGCGGUGAUGGCGGAUGCUUCAAAAGGAUUUUGAUGCAAGCCUUCAGACUCACUAGCGAUCAGAUAGUCAGUGCAAAGCAUUGGUUCUUAACCCUUUAGUGACAACCUGAAACUAGACCUUUGUUUGUGAAAACAUUAUAUUCGCCCACAAUAUGCGGUUUAAUGUACCAUCACUGCUUUUACCAUGCAAUAGAUACUCCUCUGACAUUGGUGGUAUAUGUCUAACAAAUAUUUUUCUUCUUUUGUAUUUUGUUUUCUUCUAACAAAUAAGAAUGAUUUCAUUUUUACAACAGAAGAAUGGAUUCCCAAGUAAACGCCAGGCACAUCAUUUGAGUCCCUUAAAAAAAUUUUUUUAAGAACUACUGGUGUUAAACUAACCAACAACUGAUUUUAGCAUUUGCUUCUAUCAGAUAAAAUAAACAUUGGUAAACUGAUCAUAAAAUAAGCAUUCCUUUUAAAAUUUUUCAUAUUUUCAGGUGAUUCCAUACAGCUUUACUCCUAAUCCCCUAGUUCCCUCAUUUACCAUUACCACUGGCAAGUUGCUGCUAAAGUAGUAACUAAACAAAGGAUUUGGUAACACAUGGGUAAGAGGGAUCAAUUUAACGCCAGACCCACUGAUAGCCAUGUUAUUAAGUCAGAGAUGUAUGCUCUUACCUGGGAACUUACAUACAGAAAUAAUCAUUUGGUACAGCCUCUUUAAUAGCAUAACCCCUGAAAUGUUCCAAGGCUAACGACCAACAGAAUAUUGAAAAGAUGUUCGAACAUAGGGAAAAAAAAUCCUACAUAGAAUACAACUUAUGGGUACAAAUCGCAUGAACAAUACCUUUAUAUAUCUUCUUUACUACAUACACACAAAUCACUUAAAAAUAAUCCUUUGGAUCUAUAGUGUAUUGUAUUAUUAAAAAGGAAAAAAAAAAAUCUUUAAAACAUACAAAGGAUAUAGCACUCACUAAGAAAGAUGCACAUGUAAAUAAAUGAGCAUCAAACGACUUGGCCUACCACGUCCCAAAAUUUUAAUUUAAUUUUGAGUGGCUCAUUAAUACAUUGAGAAAACAAAGUAUUCUUCACAUCUUCUAUGUACCCACCACUGAUGCCUAAAUAAUUUUAUUGGGAAGUUUAUAUUUUUUUUUUUUUGCACCUCUUUUCUAUUACACAUUUAAAACACUUGGUAAUUCCAAUUAAAAUGCCCUGAAUAUCACAUAAUUAAUGCCACAUGUACGGUUUAAGUGUACUGUCACACUCCUUAAAUACCAAGUGUGUGUAAAAAAAAUAAAAAUAAAUAAUUCAAAUAUCCAUGGGUGAGAUCCGGAACUCGCCGUACAAAGAAAGGGGGUGCACCACCUGCGGCAAGCUAAAAAACAAAACCACCAAGAAGGCAGGUGUGAAUAUACAUACAAUACUACAGUGGAUGGUUUAACAUUACUUUCAUCUAGACUGUGACGCCAUUUCAAAAGAUACAUAUGUAUAGCUGUGUGGUCAAUUUUAUAAGAAGUACAUAUACAAAUACUAGCCGAGAACUUUACAAUAUGGCACCAAGAACAUAUUUCACUCGAGCUAUAAUACAAUAAAAGUAUUAAACUGACCAGGGUUUAUACCAAAAUCUUUGGGGCAAUCUGCUGGACAACAGUGCAUUUGGUGAUUACCAAAGCCUGGGUAAACAACUCUCAACAGGUCCAUUUCCAUUAGAUAAACCAGAACAAUUAAAGCCGCAGUUCCCAAAAUGUAGCUGUAGGAAAGCAAAAUCACUGUAUUACAUUCUCCAUGUUAAACAUACAAACUCAGCUAACUCUAAUAAUCUUGUUUGCUGAAAUCUUUUCUAUCUACCUAUGCCUGUUUUGUGGCAUAGGACUACCGGCUAAGAUUCCAACAAACCUUAUAAUAUAUUUAAAAUUGGGGUAUUUUGUUUUAGAUGUAGGCUCCCUGUCCAUUAUUAAAAUGAAAAUUCACCCUUUUCCCCCCCAUCAUUGAGACAAUUUAGCCUGAUUAACCCUCAAAGACUAAUAAUAUCUGAACCGACCCAUUGUUUAGCACCAUGCUUUUAUUUUAUCUGCUAAAGAUUAAAGAUACGUUAAGAAAUAAUUACGAAUUGAAAUGGUUAUAUCACAAACUUUUUUAAAAUAAAUUUUACAUAUCUACAUUAACUUUAAUUGCCAUGAUGGCUUGCUAGCUUGGGGAAGAACUUUCCAAUUCUCUUAGUUGGCAGAAUUAGUUUCUUGUGGUCAGUGGAAAUGUUUUUGCCGAAAGGACUUCAAGGGGGUUAAAUCUGUCGAUGGAAAGCUUUUAGUCCCCGAUUAUACCGUUCCCCAGUUGUUUAUGUCAAGAGAAGUUGCAAAGUUCAUGCAACUAAAGAAUUGACAACAUGGGUGUUAAAAAUACUCACUACUCAUUAUGUUACUCUUCUCUUUUCUUAAAACCCAAGUACUUCUUUUGCUUUUUUUAAUUGGUAUUUACUAUAUGUUAAUCACAAAGUAUGAUUAUUUACAGCAUAAAAAUGCCCAUUGUGGACUGUUAAAAAGGAACCAUGACUUUCGGAGACAGAUGCUUAUUUAUGCAGCCAUGGUAACUUAAAAAAAUAAAAUAAAAUUUAACUACACUGUCUGCUGCACGUCCUCAUUUCGGCGACUGCACUGUACCAUGAUCACUUCGGUGCAUGGGAUUUAGAACAUUGGAUACUACAGGGAAGUGCUGCGAUUCUGAAAUAAUUAUAUUGAACAUAUUUUCUCACGGAAACAAAGCUUUCAAUUAGUUGUACUAAUAGUAUUUUAGGCUCCCAAGCAUGCAGCUGCUGGAUGAAAGACGGUGAUCUGCUGAAGAACUAUUGCAACAAACCUGCCUGAACUAUGCGCUUCUCUCCUAAAUUACCAGUCACAUCUACUAUCAAGUCCUUAAAGGGACAGUGUAGGUGAUGUAUCUGCCUUAGCCAUACCUCCAGUUGGAGCCUGGCUGAAGGUGAGUAGAGCCCUUAUUCACAGGUUAACUGCUCAGAAAUGGUUUAACACUGAACGGAGAAACAUCACCAGAGGACUCCAGGCACUAUAAUGAAUUAGAUUUAACAGUUCUAAUGCCUACAGUGUCUCUUUAAAGCUUUAGUCUUUAGAAAAUACUCAGAGACAAAGACUACUUAAUCUUUUUUUAAUUUUUUUAUUUUACUAACUCAAACUACUUGGGAUUCUCACAACAGUGCAGAAGUGACAACACUUGUCAGGUUAUGAUAGAGAUAAAGAGAUUGAUGAGAAGUAUAUUAUCUCGUAAAUAUAUUUAUUCACCAUAUUUAUUGCUCUACCAUUUCAAGUUUGGGAAUCAUCGCAGGUCAACUUUAAAACCUACAGACCCGCAUUGUCACACUGUUGAAGUUAUUUUUACGGUUAAAAAUACAAUUUAACCUAUAUGCUGUGAUCGCCUAUCCAACAGUAAAUGUACAACUGACACAACAGUAUAUUAUAUUUUGAUAAUUCCCUAUCUCAUCAGCCAGAUGGACUUCAGACCCACAUAGCCACAAUGCACUGAUAGUCAUCUUGGGAUACACUAAAAGCAAUGCAUUCUGGGAACCUGCAUAGUGCAUGGUACACCAAAGUGUACACAAAUCUGUGCAGUUAUAGAAAAAUAAAUUAGCUGAAAAUUUCAGCUGACAACAUUACUUCAUCUGUCUGUUUCCAUUUAGUUCCCUUAAUAGGAUACGGUCACAUCUCAGGAUUUUUAAUAUAAAGUUUACUACUUCACAAAAUUUGUGGGGUGUGAAAAUUAAAUCACUCUUUAUCCUGCAACUGGGUGCUUUCAUCUUUGCUACUAUCAUUGUAAUAUCUGUAUUUGGCAGUCAACAUAGAUAAAGCAUACAGAGAGGUUAAGAAAUGUUUAUUUAUUUCUCAUCCUCAUUUGCAUUGUGCGCCUUGGCAGUGCCUGUACGGAAACAGACUGGUUCAUUCAAAUCUUUAAUUAAUUUACUAGAAAAUAGAGUAUCACAUGAAGAAAAAAAAAAAAAAAAAGCAUAAACACAAGUUAUAGGUGAUUUUCAAUGUUUUAUUAAAUAGUAAUUUCUAGAGAAGCAACAGAUCCCAGUUCCCAAAGGGACAUCACUGUCACCCCCCGCCCCCCACAAAGAAAGAAGCAAAGCAAAGUCACAGACUAAUUGAAGCUAGUCUGUUGAAAAGUGCAGCAAAAGCUUGAC